RNAcentral lists this ribosomal RNA (447 nucleotides) under uncultured bacterium. Its description in RNAcentral is "partial 16S ribosomal RNA". It matches the Rfam family "Bacterial small subunit ribosomal RNA", at positions 29 to 523 of the family's 1533-position model. The record is from RNAcentral.
AACGAACGCUGGCGGCAGGCUUAACACAUGCAAGUCGAGCGCCCCGCAAGGGGAGCGGCAGACGGGUGAGUAACGCGUGGGAAUCUACCCAUCACUACGGAACAACUCCGGGAAACUGGAGCUAAUACCGUAUACGUCCUUCGGGAGAAAGAUUUAUCGGGGAUGGAUGAGCCCGCGUUGGAUUAGCUAGUUGGUGGGGUAAUUGCCCACCAAGGCGACGAUCCAUAGCUGGUCUGAGAGGAUGAUCAGCCACACUGGGACUGAGACACGGCCCAGACUCCUGCGGGAGGCAGCAGUGGGGAAUAUUGGACAAUGGGCGCAAGCCUGAUCCAGCCAUGCCGCGUGAGUGAUGAAGGCCCUAGGGUUGUAAAGCUCUUUCACCGGUGAAGAUAAUGACGGUAACCGGAGAAGAAGCCCCGGCUAACUUCGUGCCAGCCGCCGCAGUAA